GUGAUCAAGUCCAUAAGGGCACACGGUGAAUGUCUUGGCGUCGAGAGGCGAUGAAGGACGUGGGAACCUGCGAUAAGCCUAGGGGAGCUGGUAACCGAGCUUUGAUCCUGGGAUUUCCGAAUGGGGAAACCCGAUCCGUUCUGCGGAUCAUCUAUACCUGAAUGCAUAGGGUAUGGAAGCGAACCUGGCGAACUGAAACAUCUCAGUAACCAGAGGAAAGGAAAGCAACCGCGACUCCGUAAGUAGCGCCGAGCGAAAGCGGAUAAGCCAGAAUGCAACGUGAAUCGACUGGAAAGUCGAACCAAAGAAGGUGAUGGUCCUGUAGCGUUGUUGCUGGUGAGGCCUAGAGUAGGUUCGGGCUCGUGAAACCCGGAUUGAACAUGGGGGGUCCACCCUCCAAGCCUAAGUACUCCUCGACGACCGAUAGUGAAUCAGUAAGGCGACUGAACGAUGAAAAGCACCCCGAUAAGGGGAGUGAAAAGUACCUGAAACCGUGUGCUUACAAGCGGUCGGAGCCCGUCUUUGGCGGGUGACGGCGUGCCUUUUGCAUAAUGAGCCAGCGAGUUACUCUCUACAGCAAGGCUAAGCUGAAUCCCAGCGCAGCCGAAGGGAAACCGAGUCUUAAAUGGGCGUCGAGUUGUAGGGAGUAGACGCGAAACCAGCAGAUCUACCCAUGGGCAGGUUGAAGGAGGGGUAAAACCCUCUGGAGGACCGAAGCCGUAAACGUUGAAAAGUUUUGGCAUGACCUGUGGGGAGGAGUUAAAGUCUAAUCAUUGCUGGAGAUAUCUCGUUCUCCUCGAAAUAGUUUUAGGACUAGCCCCACGUUUCAUCACACGGGGGUAGAGCGACUGAAUGGGGCUGGGGGGCUACCCGCCUACCCACUCCAAUCAAACUCCGAAUACCGUGUGAGCAGCCGUGGGAGUCAGUCUACGGGGGAUAAUCUCCGUGGACAAAAGGGAAACAGCCCAGACCGCCAGCUAAGGUCCCUAAACAACUCUAAGUUACUAAGGUAGUUGGAUUGCAGUGACAGCCAGGAUGUUGGCUUAGAAGCAGCCACCAUUUAAAAAGUGCGUAACAGCUUACUGGUCGAGGAAUCCAGCGCCGAUAAUGAUCGGGAAUAAGAGUUGUACCGAAGCUGCGGCCCGCUUAUGCGGGGGUAGAGGAGCGUUCCUGUCAGCGUCGAAGCUUUCCCGAAAGGGUGGGUGGAGCGGCAGGAAGUGAAUAUGUUGGCUUAAGUAACGAUAAACGGAGUGAGAAUCUCCGUCGCCGAAAACCUAAGGUUUCCUGGGGAAGGUAAAUCCGCCCAGGGUUAGGCGGUUCCUAAGGCGAGGCCGAAAGGCGUAGUCGAUGGACAGCCGGUUAAUAUUCCGGCCCUCCCGUGUGCGGUUGAACCAGCGUGACGGAUCGUGAAGUUCGGCGGGACAGUGAAGUGUCCAGGCCCUUGAGGCCGAUGUCGGGUGGAUUGGUUCCAAGAAAAACCGUCUGGUGACAAUCACGGGAUCCGUACUAAAACUGACACAGGUAGGUGUGGCGAAAAGCCUCAGGCGCUCGAGAGAAUGGUUGUGAAGGAAUUAGGCAAAUUGACCCCGUACGUUCGCAAUAAGGGGGCCCUCCUGGAAACAGAGGGCGCAGAGAAUAGGCUCUGGGAACUGUUUAUCAAAAACACAGCACUGUGCUAACUCGCAAGAGCACGUAUACAGUGUGACGCCUGCCCGGUGCCGGAACGUCAAGGAAGCAGGUUAGCCCUCGGGCGAAGCUUGCGACCGAAGCGCCGGUAAACGGCGGCCGUAACUCUGACGGUCCUAAGGUAGCGAAAUUCCUUGUCGGGUAAGUUCCGACGCGCAUGAAUGGCGUAAUCACUGGAGCACUGUCUCCACGACCAACUCGGUGAAAUAGUAGUGGCGGUGAAGAUGCCGCCUACCCGCAGCAAGACGGAAAGACCCCGUGAAGCUUUACUGUACGCUUA
This 1966-nucleotide ribosomal RNA is filed under the name Phycisphaerae bacterium. RNAcentral's name for it is "bacterial LSU rRNA". It matches the Rfam family "Bacterial large subunit ribosomal RNA", at positions 1 to 2114 of the family's 2925-position model. The record is from RNAcentral. Lineage: Bacteria; Pseudomonadati; Planctomycetota; Phycisphaerae.